Molecule: ribosomal RNA, 214 nt
Filed under: Glomeromycotina sp.
Lineage: Eukaryota; Fungi; Glomeromycota
Description: partial small subunit ribosomal RNA
Rfam family: Eukaryotic small subunit ribosomal RNA (bases 75-214)
Source: RNAcentral
GGGUCAGUAGGUUGGUCGUGCCACCGGUACGUACUGGUCUCACUGAUUCCUCCUUCCUGAAGAACCGUAAUGCCAUUAAUUGGUGUUGCGGGGAAACAGGACUGUUACUUUGAAAAAUUAGAGUGUUUAAAGCAAGCUAACGCUUGAAUACAUUAGCAUGGAAUAAUGAAAUAGGACGAUCGAUCCUAUUUUGUUGGUUUCUAGGAUUGACGUA